This 165-nucleotide ribosomal RNA is filed under the name uncultured bacterium. Its description in RNAcentral is "partial 16S ribosomal RNA". It matches the Rfam family "Bacterial small subunit ribosomal RNA", at positions 355 to 511 of the family's 1533-position model. The record is from RNAcentral.
UAGGGAAUCUUCGGCAAUGGACGAAAGUCUGACCGAGCAACGCCGCGUGAGUGAAGAAGGUUUUCGGAUCGUAAAACUCUGUUGUUAGAGAAGAACGACGAGGAGAGUGGAAAGCUCAUCAAGUGACGGUAACUACCCAGAAAGGGACGGCUAACUACGUGCCAG